CCUACGGGAGGCAGCAGUGGGGAAUAUUGCACAAUGGGGGAAACCCUGAUGCAGCGACGCCGCGUGAGUGAAGAAGUAUUUCGGUACGUAAAGCUCUAUCAGCAGGGAAGAAAUAAAGUCCUUUGGACUUUGGACGGUACCUGACUAAGAAGCCCCGGCUAACUACGUGCCAGCAGCCGCGGUAAUACGUAGGGGGCAAGCGUUAUCCGGAUUUACUGGGUGUAAAGGGAGCGUAGACGGCAGCGCAAGUCUGGAGUGAAAUGCCGGGGCCCAACCCCGGAACUGCUUUGGUAACUGUGCAGCUG
This 305-nucleotide ribosomal RNA is filed under the name uncultured bacterium. RNAcentral's name for it is "bacterial SSU rRNA". It matches the Rfam family "Bacterial small subunit ribosomal RNA", at positions 338 to 643 of the family's 1533-position model. The record is from RNAcentral.